Hyalella azteca is the source of this 304-nucleotide long non-coding RNA. RefSeq lists it as uncharacterized. Lineage: Eukaryota; Metazoa; Arthropoda; Malacostraca; Amphipoda; Hyalellidae. The record is from RefSeq and is a predicted model, not a curated record. The transcript has 2 exons.
CCUUGAUUAAGCCUAGCAGUUGUAACUACGGUUCAACACUGAAUCCCGAAUAGAUUUAGUAUAAACUUCUCCGUUCCUGUGACGCCAGCACCGACCCCGCCUUUACCUGGUUCUAUUCAUUCUGAAGACUCUAAAUUCUGAUGUCCAGUUGAACUAAAUUGUGGAGCCUGGUCUUCCUACUUAACUUCUUCUCUGGAUGAAUACUUAAUUACCAUCAAAACUUCCGGCGCUUCCCGUGGAUGAAGACCCAAUUAAGAAGAUCCAACCUUGAACCUCUCCUAAUAAAAUUUGAUGGUUCUCUUAU